Phalacrocorax carbo (great cormorant) is the source of this 1579-nucleotide non-coding RNA. Lineage: Eukaryota; Metazoa; Chordata; Aves; Suliformes; Phalacrocoracidae. The record is from RefSeq and is a predicted model, not a curated record.
CGACUGGCGGAGCCCGCCUUACCCACACCGCGGCGACGGAAGUGACGGCGUGGGGGGGUGCGGGCGGCUAUGGCGGAGGGGAUCUUGUUCCGGCGUGGGACCGGGCAGAGCGACGACUCAGACGUGUGGGACGACACGGCCCUCAUCAAGGCGUACGACAAGGCGGUGGCCUCCUUCAAGAACGCUUUAAAGAACGGGCAGUGUUCGGAGCCUUCGGACAAACAGGAGCAGCACCUGGGGAUGAAAAGAAAAAACAACAAAAAGAACAGACACAGAAACAGAAACAAGAGCAUCACGAUCCCUUUGAAACAGUGGAAAGUUGGUGACAGCUGUAAUGCUGUUUGGUCUGAGGACGGUAAAGUGUACCUAGCAACUAUUGCCUCCAUCAACCAGAAGAGAGGCACAUGUGUUGUUAUAUACACAGGAUAUGGAAAUGAGGAGGAGCAGAACCUGUCUGAUCUACUUCCUCCAGCCAGCGAUGAAACAAAUGAAAAUGAGACUCCAUAUUCCACAGAUGAAAGUGAAAAAUCUUCCCAGUCACGCCGAAACAAAAACAACUGCACAAAAGGAAGAUUCUCCCCUCAAAACCUAUAUUUUCCAGUACCACCAGCAGCCCCAGGCCUGGGAAGGACCGAAUCAAAAUUUAGGGCACCUCCAUCGUUUUUACCUUGCUGGCCCCCACCCUUCCUAGCAGGACCACCGUUGAUUCCGCCUCCACCACCUAUAAGGCCAGACUCUCUUGAGGAUGAUGAAGCAUUGGGGAGUAUGUUGAUAGCCUGGUACAUGAGUGGUUAUCACACUGGGUAUUACCUGGGUUUAAAACAAAGUCGAAUGGAAGCAGCACUAGAGAGAGAAACACAUGCAAAAUAACUGAAUGUCCGUCGUUGUUUUAAAGGAUUGUGUAUAAUUCGUAAUACAAGAAGGAAGAGAAAAAAAACAAACCCUCACACUUUCAAACUUUUCCAAUCUCGAAAAACUGGUGAAAGCAGCAACACCGUUGCCAAACUCUUAGAUUGGAUAUACUGCUCCUUCAUGAUAUCAAACAUUUUAAGGUCCUCUGCGAUGAAGAGCCAACCCACCAUUGCUAUUGUCACAGGACUAGGCAAUGAAGAAACACACUGGACAAAAGCUGUCACUGUUGUUGCACCAGCUUUGAUUUGAUGUCUAAACAUAUGGCUAAAUUCCAGCUCUUUUAAAGCAGGCAUGUUAUUAAGUGUUGUAAAGAAAUUUUUCCAACCAAUUUCUCAAAUAAAAUGCCAGCCUAAGCAACCGCUUGAGGUCAGACACCAUAUGUGAGAUACUGAGUUUAGCAAUCUCUUCAUGCCUGUGUACCAUCGCAUACACUCUUCAGUCUUGCCUUGCCGUCAGCCUACUUACAGGAUGAGACGCCUAUCAUCAAGUCACUAUAUAUACUAAAAUAUAUGUCAAAAAUAAAGGAAGAUGAUACGACAAACUUAGCAUUUGCUAAGACAUUUUCACUAGCACAUAUAUGAGAUAGUAGUUUAAAAGACUAUAUACUAAAGUAUUAAAUUCAAUAAAUAUUUUGGUAAUACACAAUUUUAACAGGACAUAUAAGCUA